This 359-nucleotide ribosomal RNA is filed under the name uncultured bacterium. Its description in RNAcentral is "bacterial SSU rRNA". The stretch from base 1 to 183 matches the Rfam family "Bacterial small subunit ribosomal RNA", at positions 1021 to 1204 of the family's 1533-position model. The record is from RNAcentral.
ACGGGACUCUGACACAGGUGUGCAUUAUCGUCAGCUCGUGUCGUGAGAUGUUGGGUUAAGUCCCGUAACGAGCGCAACCCUUGUCCUUAGUUACCAGCACGUCAUGGUGGGCACUCUAAGGAGACUGCCGGUGACAAACCGGAGGAAGGGUGGGGAUAGACGUCAAGUCAUCAUGGGCCCUUAACAGGCCUUGGCGCUACACACUGUGCUACAAUGCGUCAGGUCACAAGAAGGGUCGCCACAUGCCGCAGAGUGAAGCUAAUCUCACAAUAAGCCGAUCGAUAGUCCGGGAAUCGCGAUGCUCGUUGCAACUCUCAGAAUCUGCGUGAAGUCGAGAAUCCGCUAUGAUAAACUACUGC